Molecule: ribosomal RNA, 266 nt
Filed under: uncultured bacterium
Lineage: Bacteria
Description: partial 16S ribosomal RNA
Rfam family: Bacterial small subunit ribosomal RNA
Source: RNAcentral
AAACAGAGGGAAGCGAGCCCGCGAGGGGGGAGGCAAAUCCCAAAAAUAACGUCCCAGUUCGGAUUGUAGUCUGCAACUCGACUACAUGAAGCUGGAAUCGCUAGUAAUCGCGGAUCAGAAUGCCGCGGUGAAUACGUUCCCGGGUCUUGUACACACCGCCCGUCACACCAUGGGAGUCGGAAAUGCCCGAAGUCAGUGACCCAACCGAGAGGAGGGAGCUGCCGAAGGUGGAGCCGGUAACUGGGGUGAAGUCGUAACAAGGUAUC